CGAAAACGAAUUCUCUCUUGAGUGGAUCCUGAGUACGACGGAGCACGUGAAAUUCCGUCGGAAUCUGGGAGGACCAUCUCCUAAGGCUAAAUACUCUCUAGUGACCGAUAGUGAACCAGUACCGUGAGGGAAAGGUGAAAAGUACCCCGGAAGGGGAGUGAAAGAGAACUUGAAACCGUGUGCUUACAAGUAGUCAGAGCCCGUUAAUGGGUGAUGGCGUGCCUUUUGUAGAAUGAACCGGCGAGUUACGAUCUGAUGCAAGGUUAAGCAGAAAAUGUGGAGCCGUAGCGAAAGCGAGUCUGAAUAGGGCGAAUGAGUAUUUGGUCGUAGACCCGAAACCAGGUGAUCUACCCUUGGUCAGGUUGAAGUUCAGGUAACACUGAAUGGAGGACCGAACCGACUUACGUUGAAAAGUGAGCGGAUGAACUGAGGGUAGCGGAGAAAUUCCAAUCGAACUUGGAGAUAGCUGGUUCUCUCCGAAAUAGCUUUAGGGCUAGC
Molecule: ribosomal RNA, 498 nt
Filed under: Staphylococcus pseudintermedius
Lineage: Bacteria; Bacillati; Bacillota; Bacilli; Caryophanales; Staphylococcaceae
Description: partial 23S ribosomal RNA
Rfam family: Bacterial large subunit ribosomal RNA
Source: RNAcentral